GUUGGACUUCUGAAACUUGAAUGUUCGAGAAAAACACUCCUUGUACUGACCCUGACCCUCCCUGCAGUAGUAGAAUCGCACAUUAGUUUUGGUUAUAGAAAAGAUUCGAACUCUAAUUCCUGAAAUCGGAUUUGUAGAAAUAUGUAGUCCAGAAGUAAAAACGCACAUUAGUUUUGGUUAUAGAGAACACUUGAACUCUAAUUCCUGAAAUCUGAUUCGUAGCAAUAUGUAGUUCAGAAGUAAAAACUUUUUACUGGAUGUUAAGACAACUAAACAUUUGCCUG
This 284-nucleotide long non-coding RNA is filed under the name Nicotiana benthamiana. Its description in RNAcentral is "long non-coding RNA (NBEN_LNC020802)". The record is from RNAcentral. Lineage: Eukaryota; Viridiplantae; Streptophyta; Magnoliopsida; Solanales; Solanaceae.